UACGGAGGAUCCAAGCGUUAUCCGGAAUCAUUGGGUUUAAAGGGUCCGUAGGCGGGCCUGUAAGUCAGUGGUGAAAUCCGGCGGCUUAACCGUCGAACUGCCAUUGAUACUGCAGGCCUUGAAUUAUUGGGAAGUAACUAGAAUAUGUAGUGUAGCGGUGAAAUGCUUAGAUGAUUACAUGGAAUACCGAUUGCGAAGGCAGGUUACUAUCAAUACAUUGACGCUGAUGGACGAAAGCGUGGGGAGCGAACAGG
RNAcentral lists this ribosomal RNA (254 nucleotides) under uncultured bacterium. RNAcentral's name for it is "partial 16S ribosomal RNA". It matches the Rfam family "Bacterial small subunit ribosomal RNA", at positions 524 to 776 of the family's 1533-position model. The record is from RNAcentral.